Diabrotica virgifera virgifera (western corn rootworm) is the source of this 596-nucleotide long non-coding RNA. RefSeq lists it as uncharacterized. Lineage: Eukaryota; Metazoa; Arthropoda; Insecta; Coleoptera; Chrysomelidae. The transcript is spliced from 2 exons. The record is from RefSeq and is a predicted model, not a curated record.
GGCAACAUCGCAAUAUCAUAUGUUUUAAAUUUUCAUCUUAAAGAUAACAAAUCUGUGAUUAUACAUUGUGUUUGAUUGAAUACGUUGUGCGGGCCUUACGCGUCCCCAAUGAAGCGUUCGCAAUGAAUAGUAGCAAUGGUAAAUGAAUGUCAUGAAGAUGAAAUCAGGACAAAUGGAAGUGAGAAAAGAAAAGUAACGCUGGGCGUGAACGGUGGUCUAAGGCAGAAAAGUCACUAGUAUGUGAUUAUUUUAAGGAUCAUAUUCAGAAGAAAAUUGCGUCCAAAACAGGCGAGUGUGCAGAAUGGAUCCCUAAAUAUAAGGACUUUCCAAAGAAUAAAGACUGGCUGAAAAUAAAGACUUAUGUCUAAUACUAAAGUGUAUAAUACUUUUAGAGCAAAAUGACCCAUUUUACCAUUUUUCAUUUUAAAUUAGAAAUGUUUAUUAGUUUAACCGAAUGCAUUUUUCUUUAAUAGUUAUGUAAUAAGAUAUUUUACUUUUUCUUUAGUUUAUUUCUAUUUUUACACACAUGUUUGUUCUACCGAAUAUAACCUUUUUUUUUAAUAAGAUGUGUUAAAUUAAUAAACCAUUUUAUCACA